AUUGAACGCUGGCGGAAUGCCUUACACAUGCAAGUCGAACGGCAGCACGGACUUCGGUCUGGUGGCGAGUGGCGAACGGGUGAGUAAUGUAUCGGAACGUGCCCAGUCGUGGGGGAUAACGUAGUGAAAAUUACGCUAAUACCGCAUACGAUCUAUGGAUGAAAGCGGGGGAUCGCAAGACCUCGCGCGAUUGGAGCGGCCGAUAUCAGAUUAGGUAGUUGGUGGGGUAAAGGCCCACCAAGCCAACGAUCUGUAGCUGGUCUGAGAGGACGACCAGCCAAACUGGAACUGAGACACGGUCCAGACUCCUACGGGAGGCAGCAGUGUGGAAUUUUGGACAAUGGGCGAAAGCCUGAUCCAGCCAUUCCGCGUGCAGGGUGAAGGCCCUCGGGUUGUAAACUGCUUUUGUACAGAACGAAAAGGUUUCUACUAAUACUAGGAGCUCAUGACGGUACUGUAAGAAUAAGCACCGGCUAACUACGUGCCAGCCGCCGCAGUAA
This 500-nucleotide ribosomal RNA is filed under the name uncultured bacterium. RNAcentral's name for it is "partial 16S ribosomal RNA". It matches the Rfam family "Bacterial small subunit ribosomal RNA", at positions 30 to 523 of the family's 1533-position model. The record is from RNAcentral.